RNAcentral lists this microRNA (23 nucleotides) under Xenopus laevis (African clawed frog). RNAcentral's name for it is "Xla-Mir-12485-P1_5p (mature (guide))". The record is from RNAcentral. RNAcentral also lists the same sequence under 1 other name. Lineage: Eukaryota; Metazoa; Chordata; Amphibia; Anura; Pipidae.
UGAUCGGAUCUUGUACAAUUUGA